This 434-nucleotide ribosomal RNA is filed under the name Periclimenaeus pachydentatus. Its description in RNAcentral is "partial 16S ribosomal RNA". It matches the Rfam family "Archaeal large subunit ribosomal RNA", at positions 2004 to 2662 of the family's 2987-position model. Lineage: Eukaryota; Metazoa; Arthropoda; Malacostraca; Decapoda; Palaemonidae. The record is from RNAcentral.
AGGGCCGCGGUAAUUUGACCGUGCGAAGGUAGCAUAAUCAGUAGCUUUUUAAUUGGAGGCUUGUAUGAAUGGUCGGAUGAGGGACAUACUGUCUUUAUCUUAUUAAAAGAAUUUAACUUUUAAGUGAGAAGGCUUAAAUUUCUUGGGGGGACGAUAAGACCCUAUAAAACUUUAUAAUUUCUUGUAACUUAGUUUUAAUGCAGUUAUAUUUCGUUGGGGAAACGUUGAUAUAAGAAUUAACUGUUUGUAAAAUUUAAUAAUUAUAAUUAGUUUAUGAUCCUUUAGUGAGGAUUAAAAGUUUAAGUUACUUUAGGGAUAACAGCGUAAUUUUCUUUGAGAGUUCUUAUCGACAGGAUUAGUUGCGACCUCGAUGUUGAAUUAAAAUUUUUAGUUGGUGUAGCCGCUUACUUAAUAGGUCUGUUCGACCUUUAAAA